RNAcentral lists this ribosomal RNA (155 nucleotides) under Rhizoctonia solani. RNAcentral's name for it is "5.8S ribosomal RNA". It matches the Rfam family "5.8S ribosomal RNA". From Rfam's summary of the family: 5.8S ribosomal RNA (5.8S rRNA) is a component of the large subunit of the eukaryotic ribosome. It is transcribed by RNA polymerase I as part of the 45S precursor that also contains 18S and 28S rRNA. Lineage: Eukaryota; Fungi; Basidiomycota; Agaricomycetes; Cantharellales; Ceratobasidiaceae. The record is from RNAcentral.
AUUUUUCAACGACUGAUCUCUUGCCUCUCGCAUCGAUGAACAACGCAACGAAAUGCAAUAAAUGUGGUGAAUUGAAUAAUUCGAAGAAUCAUCUAAUCUUUGACACCACCUUCUCCUCCUUGGUAUUUCUUGGAGCAUGCCUGUUUGAGUAUCAA